This 117-nucleotide ribosomal RNA is filed under the name Gemmatimonadota bacterium. RNAcentral also lists the same sequence under 2 other names. Lineage: Bacteria; Pseudomonadati; Gemmatimonadota. The record is from RNAcentral.
GUUGGUGGCAAGAGCGGUGGGGAAACACCCGGUCCCAUCCCGAACCCGGCAGUAAAGUCCACCAGCGUCGAUGGUAGUGCGGGGGCGACCCCGUGUGAGAGUAGACCGCUGCCAACC